CUCUCUUUUUACCUCAGCCUCUACACACAGUUUUACCAUAACCAGUCAUUUCUGGUCAUGAAUCUUUUUCCUGUCACAUCUUCUGUGUAACUGUCACUGAAAAGUGGUGACAGAUUACACCGGAAGUGUAGGCUUACUGCUUUUAGAGAACAGAAACUCGGAACUAUCAGUCCCCUAAGAGGAGUGGCUGCGAGCUCCGUUAUAUUAGAAAGAUGCUAUUUUUGAUCCCCAGCAGAUUUCUGCAGACAUGGAGCUUCUACCACUUCUGUUUAUGUGCUUCUGUUUCAUGACUCUGUCCAGACUGACGUUUGGUGAUCAAUCCGGGAAACCUGUGAUUGUGAAAGAAGGUGAUUAUGCCAUUUUACCCUGUUCCCUCGGCACCAAUGAGAACAUUGAGUUUAUGCGGUUUGAGUGGAAGAAGGAAGGAACUGAAGAGGAGGUGUAUAUCUAUGAUAAUGGUGUGGGUUAUAGUCCUGCCCUCCCAGGUCGAGUCUCUCAUUUUCGAGAUGAUCUGAAGCACGGCAACGCCUCCAUAAGAAUAAAUAAUGUUCAACUGGAGGACAAAGGAAACUACACCUGUAACUUUCCAAACAGAGGAAAAACAUUCAGGAUUAAGCUUGUUGUUGAGCCCAUAUUAAAGGUCCGAAACGUCUCAGGAGCAGCAGAGCUUUAUGUCACAAGUCAUGAUCAAAUAAAUGGCGGGGUGCUGCUUCAGUGUGAUGUUAAGAAUGCUCAUCCCAAACCCACAGUGGAGUGGCAGGACAGUAACAAUGAAAUCAUUCCUUCUGAGGAGCCACAGGUCUCUAAACAAGGAGAUCGCUUCUACAUCACCCUCAAAGCUACUGUGAAAAAAAGUGGCCGCUAUCGCUGUGUCGCGAAACAGGAGGAAAUCAAUCAUCAGGCACAAAAGGAAAUCUAUGUAUAUAUUUAUGGGAAACCUGUGAUUGUGAAAGAAGGUGAUGAUGCCAUUUUACCCUGUUCCCUCGACACCAACAUUGAGUUUGUUAUGUUUGAGUGGACGAAGGAAGGAACUGAAAAGAAGGUGUUUACCUAUAAUACUGGGGUGAAUUAUAGUCCUGCCCUCCCCGGUCGAGUCUCAUAUUUUCAAAAUGAUCUGAAGAACGGCAACGCCUCCAUAAGAGUAAAUAAUGUUCAGCUGGAGGACAAAGGAAUCUACACCUGUAACUUUCCAAGCAGAGGAAAAACAUUCAGGAUUGAGCUUGUUGUUGAGCUCAUAUUAAAGGACCGAAACGUCCCAGGAGCAGCAGAGCCAGAGAUCACAAGUCAUGAUAAAGGAAAUGGCGGGGUGCUGCUUCAGUGUGAUGUUAAGAAUGCUCGUCCCAAACCCACAGUGGAGUGGUGGGACAGUAACAAUGAAAUCAUUCCUUCUGAGGAGCCACAGGUCUCUACACAAGGAGAUCGCUUCAACAUCACCCUCAAAGCUACUGUGAAAAAAAGUGGCCGCUAUCGCUGUGUCGCGAAACAGGAGGAAAUCAAUCAUCAGGCACAAAAGGAAAUCCAUGUAUAUAUUUAUGAGAAGAGUGACUCUGCAACCCAAGGGUUUCCUGUAUGGGCUGCCAUACUCAUCGGUGUUCUUGUUGUUGUUAUUGUUGUUGGUGUUGUGCUUAAGGUUAAAGGCUACUGUUUGAAGAAAGGUAGGCCUCCGCACAGAGAGUCCUUUCACCUAUGACCCAUCUAAAGACAUUAUUCAUAGUUGAAACCUGUUUUUGUUUUUUUGUCUUUGAUUCAGCUGAGAGUUGAAUCACAACAGGACAUGUUGGCUCUUUUUUUGUUGUGCGACUUUUCUCUGGUUUCUAAUGAAAAAACAUUUUGAGUUAACUCUGUUCAUCUUGGCUCUGGACGCUCCCUCAGAGAGAGGACGUGUCAAGAAUUUUGACUCAAAGGUUAAAAUAAUGUAAAUUUUUACUCUCCAACAUCACAGAGUACUUCAGAGUCAAACCUGAACAUCACCCAAACUGUCACAGUCCAACCUUCACUCUCCAUCACAUUCAUGGUUUAAAAUUACACGACUGUUUCUUCUACCUGCAUCUUUCACAUCCUCACCAAGUUUGAAAGGUUCACACUGUUCUGUGUAUAUAUUUCAUUAUCAUUAUUCAUCAUAUUUAGAUGUCGGACUGUUGUUGUCCUCAUAUAAGGAAAUAUGAUCUAUAAUUAAUAACGUACUUCCAUCCUUUUUAUUUUUACUUUUAACUUUUAUUUCCUCCAAAGUUAAAGAGUUUCUGUGUUGUUGAAAAUAAAAUAGAAAAAAAUACAAUUUUAAAACAGUCACAUUUCCACCAUUUCAACUUUAAUUUGAUCAUUUACUCAUCUCAGUGUUUCCUCUCCUGCUGCAGUUUCAUGGCUCCUCCUAACUCCUUUCCCAUUUUCAGUGCAGCUUUAUAAAUAAUUCACUAAACAAAGUUUCUCUGAGGUUCAUGUUUUUCAUGAGGACAGUGAUGGUUUGUUUUCAUCAUAACAGAUUAAAAUAAUUGGAACUCCAAAAAACUGUCCCCUUUGAAGACGAUACAGUUUAUUAUCUGGAUCAGUAAAAAGAAAAAUAAUGAGACAAGCAAAUUUAAAAAUGGCCCAAAGUAAAACCUUAACUCUAAAUUUAGGACUUAAAGUAUCAAGUUUCUAUUAUGUUUCAUAUUCAGUCAAAAGCUGUCAUGCAAAUGAUAAAUGACAAAUGAUAUGAGAAACGUUUCAGCUCAUAUUUAACUCAGUCUAGUUGAACAUGUGCACUCAUGUUUUACUGUAAAUUAAUAUUUAGCAGAUAGAAAAAAUGAUGAUUUUCAUUUUGAGAAUAUUUUUACUUACGCUUAAACUCUAAUAUAAUAUGUUGUUUUUGGUUAGUUGAUUUUUUUCUCAAAUUGUAUUUUUGCUGUUAACUGUUUUAUUCAUGGCAUUUGACAGAAAGCUUAAGAGCACACAAACCUGAAUAAAAAACUGUGUGUGUGUGUGUUUGUGUGUGCGUGUUUCGCUAAAUGUUUAUAAAGUGAGAAGAUGUUUUUCAUGGUUUUUAGUCAAAUUCCAGAAUGAUUCUUAUUUUGCAGCAGCUGUGCUUUGAUAAAAGAUGUUUAGCUACAGAUUGAAUGUCAGUGCAAAGCUAAAGUGUUGCUCAGUAUUAGCAGGAAGCUGUUGCACUUCAGUGUUUUUAUCCUGAACUGGCCGAGGAAAUCAAUGGGUGUUAGUCUCUAAUGUGUGAAAUUAAUAUCAAACAUUAGAUUGAAUGAAAAGUGCAAACAUGACUGUUUGUUCAAUCUCAGGGACUUUGGUCAUUUUUAUUAAUAUUUUGGCUGUAACUAGUUUAACAUCAGUAUAAAUGUGAGGUAGAAGGAGCCGUCAGUCAGGAAACAACACUGUGCUGUAGAAACAUGCAUGAAACUUUUUUUUUCACAUAAUUUUUUCACUGUGCAUUUGUUGGUUCAAAUAUAAAGUAAAAUAAACAGGUGAUCAGAGGAUCAGUGGAUUUGUUAAA
Oreochromis niloticus (Nile tilapia) is the source of this 3478-nucleotide long non-coding RNA. RefSeq annotates it as selection and upkeep of intraepithelial T-cells protein 1. NCBI's taxonomy places the organism in Eukaryota, Metazoa, Chordata, Actinopteri, Cichliformes, Cichlidae. The transcript has 10 exons. The record is from RefSeq and is a predicted model, not a curated record.